UACGGGAGGCAGCAGUGGGGAAUAUUGCACAAUGGGCGCAAGCCUGAUGCAGCCAUGCCGCGUGUAUGAAAAAGGCCUUCGGGUUGUAAAGUACUUUCAGUCGUGAGGAAGGUGUUAAGGUUAAUAACCUUAGCAAUUGACGUUAGCGACAGAAGAAGCACCGGCUAACUCCGUGCCAGCAGCCGCGGUAAUACGGAGGGUGCGAGCGUUAAUCGGAAUUACUGGGCGUAAAGGGCACGCAGGCGGUUAAUUAAGUUGGAUGUGAAUCCCCGGGCUUAACCUGGGAAUGGCAUUCAAGACUGGUUAGCUAGAGUCUUGUAGAGGGGGGUAGAAUUCCAUGUGUAGCGGUGAAAUGCGUAGAGAUGUGGAGGAAUACCGGUGGCGAAGGCGGCCCCUGGACAAGACUGACGCUCAUGUGCGAAAGCGUGGGGAGCAAACGAGGGAUUAGAUACC
Molecule: ribosomal RNA, 453 nt
Filed under: uncultured bacterium
Lineage: Bacteria
Description: bacterial SSU rRNA
Rfam family: Bacterial small subunit ribosomal RNA
Source: RNAcentral